CUUANCAUGCAGUCGACGAUGACCACUUCGGUGGGGAUUAGUGGCGAACGGGUGAGUAACACGUGGGCAAUCUGGCACUCUGGGACAAGCCCUGGAAACGGGGUCUAAUACCGGAUAUUGACCUUCACGGGCAUCUGUGAGGUUCGAAAGCUCCGGCGGUGCAGGAUGAGCCCGCGGCCUAUCAGCUUGUUGGUGAGGUAAUGGCUCACCAAGGCGACGACGGGUAGCCGGCCUGAGAGGGCCGGCCACACUGGGACUGAGACACGGCCCAGACUCCUACGGGAGGCAGCAGUGGGGAAUAUUGCACAAUGGGCGAAAGCCUGAUGCAGCGACGCCGCGUGAGGGAUGACGGCCUUCGGGUUGUAAACCUCUUUCAGCAGGGAAGAAGCGAAAGUGACGGUACCUGCAGAACGCCGGCUAACUACGUGCCAGCAGCCGCGGUAAUACGUAGGGCGCAAGCGUUGUCCGGAAUUAUUGGGCGUAAAGAGCUCGUAGGCGGCUUGUCACGUCGGUUGUGAAAGCCCGGGGCUUAACCCCGGGUCUGCAGUCGAUACGGGCAGGCUAGAGUUCGGUAGAGAUCGGAAUUCCUGGUGUAGCGGUGAAAUGCGCAGAUAUCAGGAGGAACACCGGUGGCGAANGGCGGAUCUCUGGGCCGAUACUGACGCUGAGGAGCGAAAGCGUGGGGAGCGAACAGGAUUAGAUACCCUGGUAGUCCACGCCGUAAACGGUGGGCACUAGGUGGCAACAUUCCACGUUGUCCGUGCCGCA
Molecule: ribosomal RNA, 768 nt
Filed under: Streptomyces olivaceus
Lineage: Bacteria; Bacillati; Actinomycetota; Actinomycetes; Kitasatosporales; Streptomycetaceae
Description: bacterial SSU rRNA
Rfam family: Bacterial small subunit ribosomal RNA
Source: RNAcentral